This 227-nucleotide long non-coding RNA is filed under the name Hordeum vulgare. Its description in RNAcentral is "long non-coding RNA (HVUL_LNC018881)". Lineage: Eukaryota; Viridiplantae; Streptophyta; Magnoliopsida; Poales; Poaceae. The record is from RNAcentral.
UAAAACAUAGGGCGUUAUGAACCUGUGGAGUAAUUCAACAUAAUACAGGGAGGGCUAGUGCUGAUGGUGCCACUCCUAAACAAUGCACUGUGCGGAGCCAACCCAGGCCAACUAGAGUGAUUUCUAUCAGGCCUCCAUAGGCGUAGCUUACCUAUCGUGUCCUAAGAACGGGAUACGUGGAUCCUAUCAGGAUCAUCGAUACGCUACUCGGCCUUGCUGUAUUUGUU